CCUACGGGCGGCUGCAGUAAGGAAUAUUGGGCAAUGGCCGAGAGUCUGAACCAGCCAAGUCGCGUGAGGGAAGAAUGUCCUAUGGAUGGUAAACCCCUUUUGUCAGGGAGCAAAGUCACCCACGUGUGGGUGUUGGAGAGUACCUGAAGAAAAAGCAACGGCUAACCCCGUGCCAGCAGCCGCGGUAACACGGAGGAUGCGAGCGUUAUCCGGAUUUAUUGGGUUUAAAGGGUAAGUAGGCGGGUUAUCAAGUCAGCGGUAAAAUGGUGGAGCUCAACUCCAGCCAGCCGUUGAAACUGAUGAUCUUGAGUGGGCGAGAAGUAUGCGGAAUGCGUGGUGUAGCGGUGAAAUGCAUAGAUAUCACGCAGAACUCCGAUUGCGAAGGCAGCAUACCGGCGCCCGACUGACGCUGAAGCACGAAAGCGUGGGUAUCGAACAGGAUUAGAUACCCCAGUAGUC
This 459-nucleotide ribosomal RNA is filed under the name uncultured bacterium. Its description in RNAcentral is "partial 16S ribosomal RNA". It matches the Rfam family "Bacterial small subunit ribosomal RNA", at positions 338 to 795 of the family's 1533-position model. The record is from RNAcentral.